This 254-nucleotide ribosomal RNA is filed under the name uncultured bacterium. RNAcentral describes it as "partial 16S ribosomal RNA". It matches the Rfam family "Bacterial small subunit ribosomal RNA", at positions 524 to 776 of the family's 1533-position model. The record is from RNAcentral.
UACGUAGGUGGCAAGCGUUGUCCGGAUUUACUGGGCGUAAAGAGCGCGCAGGCGGUCAGAUAAGUCGAAUGUGAAAGCCCCCGGCUCAACUGGGGAGGGUCAUUCGAUACUGUUCGACUCGAAGGCAGGAGAGGGAAGCGGAAUUCCCGGUGUAGUGGUGAAAUGCGCAGAUAUCAGGAGGAACACCGGUGGCGAAGGCGGGUCUCUGGGCAGUAACUGACGCUGAGGAGCGAAAGCGUGGGGAGCGAAACAGG